UCUCCGUUGGUGAACCAGCGGAGGGAUCAUUACCGAAGUUACCUUCAAAACCCACUGUGAACCUUACCUCUUGCCGCGUUGUCUCGGCGGGAGGCGGUGUGCGUCGCACGCCCUAGCGGGCCGCGCCGCUCCCGUCCCCGCCGGCAGCGCCAAACUCUAAAUGCACAGCGGACUGUACGUUCUGAUUUACAAAAAAAACAAGUUAAAACUUUCAACAACGGAUCUCUUGGUUCUG
RNAcentral lists this unclassified non-coding RNA (235 nucleotides) under plant metagenome. RNAcentral's name for it is "partial contains small subunit ribosomal RNA, internal transcribed spacer 1, and 5.8S ribosomal RNA". The record is from RNAcentral.